GGAUGCCUACGGGACGCAGCAGUGAGGAAUAUUGGUCAAUGGUCGGGAGACUGAACCAGCCAAGCCGCGUGAGGGAGGAAGGUACAGAGUAUCGUAAACCUCUUUUGUCAGGGAACAAAGACUGGGACGCGUCCCCGGAUGAGUGUACCUGAAGAAAAAGCAUCGGCUAACUCCGUGCCAGCAGCCGCGGUAAUACGGAGGAUGCGAGCGUUAUCCGGAUUUAUUGGGUUUAAAGGGUGCGCAGGCUGUUUCGUAAGUCGUGUGUGAAAGGCGCGGGCUCAACCCGCGG
This 289-nucleotide ribosomal RNA is filed under the name uncultured bacterium. Its description in RNAcentral is "partial 16S ribosomal RNA". It matches the Rfam family "Bacterial small subunit ribosomal RNA", at positions 333 to 619 of the family's 1533-position model. The record is from RNAcentral.